UAAGAGGUGAAUGAUGGAGUCACUCACA
This 28-nucleotide non-coding RNA is filed under the name Mus musculus (house mouse). Lineage: Eukaryota; Metazoa; Chordata; Mammalia; Rodentia; Muridae. The record is from RNAcentral.